Molecule: ribosomal RNA, 253 nt
Filed under: uncultured bacterium
Lineage: Bacteria
Description: partial 16S ribosomal RNA
Rfam family: Bacterial small subunit ribosomal RNA
Source: RNAcentral
CACGUAGGGCGCAAGCGUUGUCCGGAAUUAUUGGGCGUAAAGAGCUCGUAGGCGGUCUGUUGCGUCUGCUGUGAAAACCCGGGGCUUAACCCCUGGCUUGCAGUGGAUACGGACAGACUAGAGGUAGGUAGGGGAGAAUGGAAUUCCCGGUGUAGCGGUGAAAUGCGCAGAUAUCGGGAGGAACACCGGUGGCGAAGGCGGCCUUCUGGACGGUGACUGACGCUGAGGCGCGAAAGCGUGGGGAGCAAACGGG